CAAUUUCGUAAAAAAAAUCAGCCACUCUGUCAAGGAUGUUUAAACGUCUCCUUCGUCACCUGUCGCAGCAGAUGGAGAAGUUCCCUCUCUCCUCCACACAAACGGCUUCUACCGUACUCUUAAACCCCUAUUCGUCAGAAACGAAGUAGGACAAGAAGAAAAUCGACUAAAGGAAUUCGGCAUUUCCAAAACCCUAGCUAGCUCUCCGAUCAAAACCCUAGCCAACUCUUCAGAUUCCACAUAUAAACCCUAGAAUUGGAGAAUGGUGGGCCCGCUCGCAGGCUUGCAAGAUCAUCUCAAGCUUGCGCGAGAGUAUGCCCUAGAAGGUCUGUAUGAUACCGCCAUCAUCUUCUUUGAUGGCGCCAUCGCUCAGAUCAACAAGCACCUAAGCACUCUCGAUGAUCCUUCACUUCGUACGAAAUGGAUGAAUUGCAAGAAAGGUCUUUCUGAGGAAAUAGACAUUGUGAAACAGUUGGAUGCAGAAAGAAGGUCCUUCAAGGAAAUUCCAGGGAUCGGGCGAUCUUCUUCACCCCCAAUUCGUGUUAAAUCAGGAGGCUUUGUGUUCCAACCUCUGGAUGAGUACCCAACUUCCUCAGGUGCCCCCAUGGAUGACCCUGAUGUUUGGAGACCGCCCAGCAGGGACACUCAUGGAAGUAGAAGACCAACAAGGGCUGGCCAAGCGAGCAUGAGAAAAUCUACACAAGAUGCAACGUGGGCUCGUGGUUCAACUAGGCCAGGAACUGUUGGUCGCGGAGCAAAGUCUAAUGCCUCAAGCAGAACUAGCACUGGAGUUCGCUCAUCAACUGCUUCAGGACUGCCUGCUAAAAAAGGCACUGCCUCUGGCAGAUCCAAUGCGAGUAAAACAGAUUCUUUGAAUGGUGAUGCAGAUGAAGGAAAGUCAAGGAAGGGACAGUAUGAAGGACCUGAUCCGGACUUGGCUGCAAUGCUUGAAAGGGAUGUCUUGGAGACCAGCCCUGGUGUAAGAUGGGAUGAUGUUGCAGGACUUUCGGAAGCUAAAAGACUUUUGGAGGAAGCUGUGGUCCUUCCUUUGUGGAUGCCUGAGUAUUUUCAGGGUAUUCGCCGACCAUGGAAAGGAGUUCUUAUGUUUGGCCCUCCUGGUACUGGAAAGACACUUCUAGCUAAAGCAGUUGCUACAGAAUGUGGAACAACAUUUUUCAAUGUUUCCUCUGCUACCCUAGCUUCAAAAUGGCGCGGGGAGAGUGAGCGCAUGGUUCGAUGCUUGUUUGACCUUGCAAGAGCUUAUGCUCCAAGUACAAUUUUUAUCGAUGAGAUUGACUCUCUUUGCAAUGCUCGGGGGGCUUCAGGAGAGCAUGAAUCAUCCAGAAGGGUGAAGUCUGAACUUCUAGUUCAGGUAGAUGGUGUUAACAACAGCUCUACUGGUGAAGAUGGUGCAAGGAAAAUAGUGAUGGUGUUGGCAGCUACUAAUUUUCCAUGGGACAUAGAUGAGGCACUCAGAAGAAGGUUGGAAAAGCGAAUAUAUAUACCUCUUCCAAACUUUGAGAGUCGUAAGGAGCUUAUCCGGAUUAACCUUAAAACUGUUGAGGUUGCUCCUGAUGUAAAUAUUGAUGGGGUGGCCCGCCGUACAGAAGGUUAUAGUGGAGAUGAUCUUACAAACGUUUGUCGAGAUGCUUCCUUGAAUGGCAUGAGGCGUAAGAUUGCAGGCAAAACACGGGAUGAGAUCAAGAACAUGUCCAAGGAUGAGAUUUCAAAGGACCCAGUUGCCAUGUGUGACUUCGAAGAAGCUCUGACCAAGGUCCAGCGCAGUGUUUCAGCAGCUGACAUAGAACGCCAUGAGAAGUGGUUUUCAGAGUUUGGAUCGGCAUGAAAUCUCAGGGGAAUGCCGAAGUCACUCAGCGUACCUGUUGGUCCUUCCGGUUCACAUUUAUUGAUGUUUGAAUGGUUUUGUGGCCGACCCCAAUUUGUUGGGGAAUGAGGCUUAGAUGGUGAUGUGAUUUUGAAUGUCUUUUUUUUUUUUUUUUUUUCUGGCAGUUUUAAUCCCUGCAGAUGUGUUGAAGAGAAUAUCCCAAUUCCAUGAUAGUGAUUCCUAGAUGACGACGACGACGACAACAACGAUAAUGCUUAGAUGGUGGUGAUGGUUAUUAUGCCUAAACGAUGAUGCUCAAAUAGUGAUGAUGAUGAUGAUAGGCAAAUGAGGAUGGUGAUUUAUGAUGCCCUGAUGAUGCUGCCCAAAUGGUAACGAUGAUAUCCAGAUGGUGACGA
This is an RNA transcript of Magnolia sinica, 2241 nucleotides long. It is a transcript of the gene named katanin p60 ATPase-containing subunit A1, with no coding region annotated. The transcript is spliced from 8 exons. Lineage: Eukaryota; Viridiplantae; Streptophyta; Magnoliopsida; Magnoliales; Magnoliaceae. The record is from RefSeq and is a predicted model, not a curated record.